This 2925-nucleotide ribosomal RNA is filed under the name Escherichia coli. Its description in RNAcentral is "23S ribosomal RNA". It matches the Rfam family "Bacterial large subunit ribosomal RNA". The record is from RNAcentral. Lineage: Bacteria; Pseudomonadati; Pseudomonadota; Gammaproteobacteria; Enterobacterales; Enterobacteriaceae.
GGGUUGUGAGGUUAAGCGACUAAGCGUACACGGUGGAUGCCCUGGCAGUCAGAGGCGAUGAAGGACGUGCUAAUCUGCGAUAAGCGUCGGUAAGGUGAUAUGAACCGUUAUAACCGGCGAUUUCCGAAUGGGGAAACCCAGUGUGUUUCGACACACUAUCAUUAACUGAAUCCAUAGGUUAAUGAGGCGAACCGGGGGAACUGAAACAUCUAAGUACCCCGAGGAAAAGAAAUCAACCGAGAUUCCCCCAGUAGCGGCGAGCGAACGGGGAGCAGCCCAGAGCCUGAAUCAGUGUGUGUGUUAGUGGAAGCGUCUGGAAAGGCGCGCGAUACAGGGUGACAGCCCCGUACACAAAAAUGCACAUGCUGUGAGCUCGAUGAGUAGGGCGGGACACGUGGUAUCCUGUCUGAAUAUGGGGGGACCAUCCUCCAAGGCUAAAUACUCCUGACUGACCGAUAGUGAACCAGUACCGUGAGGGAAAGGCGAAAAGAACCCCGGCGAGGGGAGUGAAAAAGAACCUGAAACCGUGUACGUACAAGCAGUGGGAGCACGCUUAGGCGUGUGACUGCGUACCUUUUGUAUAAUGGGUCAGCGACUUAUAUUCUGUAGCAAGGUUAACCGAAUAGGGGAGCCGAAGGGAAACCGAGUCUUAACUGGGCGUUAAGUUGCAGGGUAUAGACCCGAAACCCGGUGAUCUAGCCAUGGGCAGGUUGAAGGUUGGGUAACACUAACUGGAGGACCGAACCGACUAAUGUUGAAAAAUUAGCGGAUGACUUGUGGCUGGGGGUGAAAGGCCAAUCAAACCGGGAGAUAGCUGGUUCUCCCCGAAAGCUAUUUAGGUAGCGCCUCGUGAAUUCAUCUCCGGGGGUAGAGCACUGUUUCGGCAAGGGGGUCAUCCCGACUUACCAACCCGAUGCAAACUGCGAAUACCGGAGAAUGUUAUCACGGGAGACACACGGCGGGUGCUAACGUCCGUCGUGAAGAGGGAAACAACCCAGACCGCCAGCUAAGGUCCCAAAGUCAUGGUUAAGUGGGAAACGAUGUGGGAAGGCCCAGACAGCCAGGAUGUUGGCUUAGAAGCAGCCAUCAUUUAAAGAAAGCGUAAUAGCUCACUGGUCGAGUCGGCCUGCGCGGAAGAUGUAACGGGGCUAAACCAUGCACCGAAGCUGCGGCAGCGACGCUUAUGCGUUGUUGGGUAGGGGAGCGUUCUGUAAGCCUGUGAAGGUGUACUGUGAGGUAUGCUGGAGGUAUCAGAAGUGCGAAUGCUGACAUAAGUAACGAUAAAGCGGGUGAAAAGCCCGCUCGCCGGAAGACCAAGGGUUCCUGUCCAACGUUAAUCGGGGCAGGGUGAGUCGACCCCUAAGGCGAGGCCGAAAGGCGUAGUCGAUGGGAAACAGGUUAAUAUUCCUGUACUUGGUGUUACUGCGAAGGGGGGACGGAGAAGGCUAUGUUGGCCGGGCGACGGUUGUCCCGGUUUAAGCGUGUAGGCUGGUUUUCCAGGCAAAUCCGGAAAAUCAAGGCUGAGGCGUGAUGACGAGGCACUACGGUGCUGAAGCAACAAAUGCCCUGCUUCCAGGAAAAGCCUCUAAGCAUCAGGUAACAUCAAAUCGUACCCCAAACCGACACAGGUGGUCAGGUAGAGAAUACCAAGGCGCUUGAGAGAACUCGGGUGAAGGAACUAGGCAAAAUGGUGCCGUAACUUCGGGAGAAGGCACGCUGAUAUGUAGGUGAAGUCCCUCGCGGAUGGAGCUGAAAUCAGUCGAAGAUACCAGCUGGCUGCAACUGUUUAUUAAAAACACAGCACUGUGCAAACACGAAAGUGGACGUAUACGGUGUGACGCCUGCCCGGUGCCGGAAGGUUAAUUGAUGGGGUUAGCGCAAGCGAAGCUCUUGAUCGAAGCCCCGGUAAACGGCGGCCGUAACUAUAACGGUCCUAAGGUAGCGAAAUUCCUUGUCGGGUAAGUUCCGACCUGCACGAAUGGCGUAAUGAUGGCCAGGCUGUCUCCACCCGAGACUCAGUGAAAUUGAACUCGCUGUGAAGAUGCAGUGUACCCGCGGCAAGACGGAAAGACCCCGUGAACCUUUACUAUAGCUUGACACUGAACAUUGAGCCUUGAUGUGUAGGAUAGGUGGGAGGCUUUGAAGUGUGGACGCCAGUCUGCAUGGAGCCGACCUUGAAAUACCACCCUUUAAUGUUUGAUGUUCUAACGUUGACCCGUAAUCCGGGUUGCGGACAGUGUCUGGUGGGUAGUUUGACUGGGGCGGUCUCCUCCUAAAGAGUAACGGAGGAGCACGAAGGUUGGCUAAUCCUGGUCGGACAUCAGGAGGUUAGUGCAAUGGCAUAAGCCAGCUUGACUGCGAGCGUGACGGCGCGAGCAGGUGCGAAAGCAGGUCAUAGUGAUCCGGUGGUUCUGAAUGGAAGGGCCAUCGCUCAACGGAUAAAAGGUACUCCGGGGAUAACAGGCUGAUACCGCCCAAGAGUUCAUAUCGACGGCGGUGUUUGGCACCUCGAUGUCGGCUCAUCACAUCCUGGGGCUGAAGUAGGUCCCAAGGGUAUGGCUGUUCGCCAUUUAAAGUGGUACGCGAGCUGGGUUUAGAACGUCGUGAGACAGUUCGGUCCCUAUCUGCCGUGGGCGCUGGAGAAUUGAGGGGGGCUGCUCCUAGUACGAGAGGACCGGAGUGGACGCAUCACUGGUGUUCGGGUUGUCAUGCCAAUGGCACUGCCCGGUAGCUAAAUGCGGAAGAGAUAAGUGCUGAAAGCAUCUAAGCACGAAACUUGCCCCGAGAUGAGUUCUCCCUGACUCCUUGAGAGUCCUGAAGGAACGUUGAAGACGACGACGUUGAUAGGCCGGGUGUGUAAGCGCAGCGAUGCGUUGAGCUAACCGGUACUAAUGAACCGUGAGGCUUAACCUUACAACGCCGAAG